AUGAACGCUGGCGGCGUGCCUAAUACAUGCAAGUCGAACGAACAGACGAGGAGCUUGCUCCUCUGACGUUAGCGGCGGACGGGUGAGUAACACGUGGAUAACCUACCUAUAAGACUGGUAUAACUUCGGGAAACCGGAGCUAAUACCGGAUAAUAUAUUGAACCGCAUGGUUCAAUAGUGAAAGACGGUUUUGCUGUCACUUAUAGAUGGAUCCGCGCCGCAUUAGCUAGUUGGUAAGGUAACGGCUUACCAAGGCAACGAGGCGUAGCCGACCUGAGAGGGGGAUCGGCCACACAGGAACUGAGACACGGUCCAGACUCCUACGGGAGGCAGCAGUAGGGAAUCUUCCGCAAUGGGCGAAAGCCUGACGGAGCAACGCCGCGUGAGUGAUGAAGGUCUUCGGAUCGUAAAACUCUGUUAUUAGGGAAGAACAAAUGUGUAAGUAACUAUGCACGUCUUGACGGUACCUAAUCAGAAAGCCACGGCUAACUACGUG
Molecule: ribosomal RNA, 496 nt
Filed under: uncultured bacterium
Lineage: Bacteria
Description: partial 16S ribosomal RNA
Rfam family: Bacterial small subunit ribosomal RNA
Source: RNAcentral